RNAcentral lists this ribosomal RNA (433 nucleotides) under uncultured bacterium. RNAcentral describes it as "partial 16S ribosomal RNA". It matches the Rfam family "Bacterial small subunit ribosomal RNA", at positions 38 to 507 of the family's 1533-position model. The record is from RNAcentral.
GGGGGGGGGGGGGGGGGGGGGGGACGGGUGCAGGGCGAGCGAGACGUUCGGGUCUGGUGGCGCACGGGUGCGUAACGCGUGGGAACCGGCCCUUAGGUUCGGAAUAACUCCCCGAAAGGGGUGCUAAUACCGGAUAAUGUCUUCGGACCAAAGAUUUAUCGCCUUUGGAUGGGCCCGCGUUAGAUUAGCUAGUUGGUAGGGUAAAAGCCUACCAAGGCGACGAUCCAUAGCUGGUCUGAGAGGAUGAUCAGCCACACUGGGACUGAGACACGGCCCAGACUCAUACGGGAGGCAGCAGUGGGGAAUAUUGGACAAUGGGCGGAAGCCUGAUCCAGCAAUGCCGCGUGAGUGAUGAAGGCCUUAGGGUUGUAAAGCUCUUUUACCCGGGAUGAUAAUGACAGUACCGGGAGAAUAAGCUCCGGCUAACUCCGUG